GCCAAGGUAGCUUAGUGGCGAAGCGGUGGACUGCAGAUCCAUUACACGUGAGUUCAAAUCUCACCCUUGGCUUCA
This 75-nucleotide transfer RNA is filed under the name Methanothermobacter wolfeii. RNAcentral describes it as "tRNA-Cys". It matches the Rfam family "tRNA". Rfam says of the family: Transfer RNA (tRNA) molecules are approximately 80 nucleotides in length. Their secondary structure includes four short double-helical elements and three loops (D, anti-codon, and T loops). The record is from RNAcentral. Lineage: Archaea; Methanobacteriati; Methanobacteriota; Methanobacteria; Methanobacteriales; Methanobacteriaceae.